CCGCAGUAUAUUAACUGUGCUAAGGUAGCAUAAUCAUUAGUUUUUUAAUUGAAAACUGGAAUGAAGGGUUGGAUGAAAAAAUAGCUGUCUCUAUUAAUAUAUAAUAGAAUUUUAUUUUUUAGUUAAAAAGCUGAAAUGUUUUUAAAAGACGAGAAGACCCUAUAGAAUUUUAUAUUUGUAUAGAUUGAUAUUUUUAGAAUUUAAAUUAUUAAUUUUUAUUAGUAUUGAGUUGGGGUGAUUAAAAAAUUUAAUUAACUUUUUUUAUAUUUAUAUAUUAAUUAAUAAUUUAUUGAUCCAAUAUUUUUGAUUAUAAGAAAAAAUUACCUUAGGGAUAACAGCGUUAUUUUAUUAGAGAGUU
Molecule: ribosomal RNA, 358 nt
Filed under: Oides decempunctatus
Lineage: Eukaryota; Metazoa; Arthropoda; Insecta; Coleoptera; Chrysomelidae
Description: partial 16S ribosomal RNA
Source: RNAcentral